This 276-nucleotide unclassified non-coding RNA is filed under the name sea anemone metagenome. RNAcentral's name for it is "partial contains small subunit ribosomal RNA and internal transcribed spacer 1". The stretch from base 1 to 158 matches the Rfam family "Eukaryotic small subunit ribosomal RNA", at positions 1678 to 1831 of the family's 1831-position model. The record is from RNAcentral.
GCACCUACCGAUUGGAUGGUUUAGUGAGGACUCCUGAUUGGCGCCGCCGCCCCGGCAACGGAGCAGCGGACUGCCGAAAAGUUGUUCAAACUUGAUCAUUUAGAGGAAGUAAAAGUCGUAACAAGGUUUCCGUAGGUGAACCUGCAGAAGGAUCAAGAUGGGAGAGGCGUCGUGUGGGGAAGGAGUGUAGUUCUCGGUGGUCGCGGCAUCAUUAAAAAAAAAAACACAAUAAACACCACAUCGAUUCGAGUGCUAAUAAGAAGUAUAUGCACGAAU